GGGUCAGUAGGUUGGUCGUGCCACCGGUACGUACUGGCCUCACUGAUUCCUCCUUCCUGAAGAACCGUAAUGCCAUUAAGUUGGUGUUGCGGGGAAACAGGACUGUUACUUUGAAAAAAUUAGAGUGUUUAAAGCAAGCUAACGCUUGAAUACAUUAGCAUGGAAUAAUGAAAUAGGACGAUCGAUCCUAUUUUGUUGGUUUCUAGGAUUGACGUA
Molecule: ribosomal RNA, 216 nt
Filed under: Glomeromycotina sp.
Lineage: Eukaryota; Fungi; Glomeromycota
Description: partial small subunit ribosomal RNA
Rfam family: Eukaryotic small subunit ribosomal RNA (bases 87-216)
Source: RNAcentral